GUCCCGAUAGUAUANAAUAUUACUUUGGUCUUGUAAACCAAAAAUGAAGAUCAUUUCUUCUCAGGACA
This 68-nucleotide transfer RNA is filed under the name Sundamys muelleri (Mueller's giant Sunda rat). RNAcentral's name for it is "tRNA-Thr". It matches the Rfam family "tRNA". Rfam says of the family: Transfer RNA (tRNA) molecules are approximately 80 nucleotides in length. Their secondary structure includes four short double-helical elements and three loops (D, anti-codon, and T loops). Lineage: Eukaryota; Metazoa; Chordata; Mammalia; Rodentia; Muridae. The record is from RNAcentral.